Molecule: long non-coding RNA, 364 nt
Filed under: Manihot esculenta (cassava)
Lineage: Eukaryota; Viridiplantae; Streptophyta; Magnoliopsida; Malpighiales; Euphorbiaceae
Description: long non-coding RNA (MESC_LNC005460)
Source: RNAcentral
CCGCACUUCACUGACGCUAGAGACAACCAUUCCUCUCCUCAAUCGGCGACAUCUGCUUUGACUGGAACUCUCUUCAAGUUUCAAGAUCUUUUAUGUGCAUGUUCUUAAAGAAUUUUAGAAUUUAUGGACUAUUAAUCUGAUUAUUUGGAUAUGUUAAAAAAUCUAAUUAUUUGCUAUUUGAUUAAUGUAAUACUGUUGAUUUUAGAAUUUAUGGACAAUUAAUCUGAUUAUUUGAUUAUAAAUCAUUAUUUGCUGGGUUGCUGAGUUGCUGGUUCUUGUCAUUGAACAUUUCUCCUCCUACUGGGUUGUGCAACUGUUAGGUAGUUUAUUUGGUAGUUUUUGUCAUUGAAUUGAAUUAAAAAAA